Non-coding RNA from Pelobates cultripes (western spadefoot toad), 219 nucleotides. Lineage: Eukaryota; Metazoa; Chordata; Amphibia; Anura; Pelobatidae. The record is from the annotation of a GenBank genome assembly.
AGCCGAGAUAGGAGAACGGAAUAAGUUGACGGUGCGAAAGGCUUUGCCUGAUUCGAACAGAUGUGUCAGGAAGUCCAACACCGAUUUCACAGGGGCUGAUACAGGAUCCAACGAUCGUUCCAAGCACCAAUUGGCCCACUGUAUCCAGGCCGCAGCAUAUGCAUGUCGUGUUCCAGGCGCCCAUGCGUUUGCCAGGAGUUGCAUAGUUGUGCUCGAAAC